RNAcentral lists this small nuclear RNA (88 nucleotides) under Cervus elaphus hippelaphus. Lineage: Eukaryota; Metazoa; Chordata; Mammalia; Artiodactyla; Cervidae. The record is from RNAcentral.
CAUGUUCUGAAAACUGGAACGAUACAGAGAAGAUUAGCAUGGCCCCUGCGCAAGGAUGACACGCAAAUCGGUGAAGCGUUCAUAAUUU